Pantherophis guttatus is the source of this 4092-nucleotide non-coding RNA. NCBI's taxonomy places the organism in Eukaryota, Metazoa, Chordata, Lepidosauria, Squamata, Colubridae. The record is from RefSeq and is a predicted model, not a curated record.
AGGCAGGCGUUUAAUAUGUGAGUCGUAUGUAAUAUCAGAAAAAAUUAUUCUGGAUUGAAGUUUUCAUUUUAGAAUAUGAGACAGCGAUUCAUCCCGCCCCAAGCGAAGCCCGGGUACUGCCGCGCGGAAAACGUCAAACUGAAGCACCAGCGGACGCGAUCCUUCCAAAGGAGAGAAGGGGGAAGGGAGGCUCCUCCGCAGAUCCCCGCCCCUCCCGCUCUGGAUCCGCUUGUCAGCUCUCCGAGGGAGUCGUGCAGCGCUUACCACCUGCCCUGCCGUGGUGGCGACUGCAGGAGGAACUGGAGGAGAGCAGGCCUCGGUAGCCCUGGUUUUCCAGCCCGCUCAGCUCGCUUCUCCUCUCGGCCUCAGAGCGAGUCGUGGCAGGCGAGUAGCGUCAUUAGGCACGUAACCGGCGCCUCGUAUUUGACAUUGUCGUCAGAGCGCCUCCUUCCGUUCCGCUCCUAUCUCAGCUGAGCGAAGAGGGCCUGUACAGGAGAAGGAUUGCUUGGGCUGAGCCGAGGAGAGUGCCUAAGGCCCCUACGCUUAGCGGUAAAGGGGAUCGGUAGCUGUAUGCAGUUAAGGGUUACUGCAUUUGGUGUAGGAAAACAAAGGCGAAGCUUCGCCCUUACGGCUCUUUUCGCCCGCCGCGCUGCACAAAAUCAAUAGAGAAUAGAACAUAUUGGUGGAUUUUCUUGCGACAAGAACCGCAUGCAAGCGCAGAUUAGGAUUCGUGCUUGUUCUGUACAGUUCUGGUGAAAGGAAGCCUCGGCAAUCGUGGAAACGCAGCUUUGAAGAGAACUCCGGUUUUGGAGCAAAAAAUGGGGUUAUUUUAGUAUUGCGGGCGUCUUUAGAUUGCAGAGAAGGAAGCUGCAUAUAACACCCUCACUCUGCUUAAGAAUAUUGUACAGUAUUUAAUGUCUACAAAAAGAACCAGGAAAGUGUAGCUUUCUAGACCUGAUUGGGUUGCAACUCUCCUGAACUUUAAUCAGAAUAGUAGGGAUAAUUGAGGUUUUAGGUAAUCAGUUUCUGGAAGGCCUAAACUCCACCCAUUUUAAUGGCCCUUUAUUGUACAACAUCCUGGGAGAGUACACUACAGGGACUAUGGUCCGCCCAAGUGUUCGGCAUGAUAUCCAUCUCUUCUAGAAUAUUGAUCAAUUCUGGGUUCAUCCAAGCCAUGUCUAUGCGAGACCAUGAGCCACUCUGGAGUGUCUGAGGUAGAUUUGCGGUGCAGCCAAGUAUUGAGCACCAUCGUCAGUGGAGGACCCACUACUACUGCUCGCCUUCUCCACCGCCAUUCGCUUGCACCUCUGAAGCUGCCUCUAUUGUAUUCAUCCAGCAAGUGACAGUCCACAAUGGGGUCACCAGCUACCUGGGGAAGAAGGCAGUCCUGCCCUACAAAAUCGCAAUAACAGAGACUGGUUGUCUACAAUCUAUCGCAUGAACAAAAUUAUCCAAUGGAGAAGGCGGAUCUUGUUUUCUCACAUUUUGCUUGAUAGAUGCCAUACUGGCAGUUGAACACCUCUUCUUGAUGGAUAAAGUCACCUACAUAUGCAAGUUGCUACAUAUCUCAAUGGCAAUGAAGUAGAAACCAACAACCUGGUUAUCCUGGCCAAACCCAUAGGCAACACUGAGCUGAGGAAGUGAAGGCUAGCAACACAAAGCAGCUUAUGGCUGUGUGCACAUCCACAAAUGAGAAGCUGCCAGCUUGCAUCACCUGGCAGUUGAAGCUGCAUGGUAAUUUCAGUGCCAAGCAGAUAAACAACUCCGAUGGCACUGUCACUGUCAUCAGCCACUACAACAUGCUUCUCACCAAGGAAGCCAACAAGCAACAGAUCACCUGCCUUGUUGAACUGCCACAGCAUGAGUCUGUCCCUGGCUUUCCAUGUUGAAUGUUCCUGAGGUUGCAUAGAGGGCUACGAUGAAAACUGGUAUCUGACCCUCAAUGAGGCCACAUUCAUCUGCAGCAUGAGGGGAAAUCCCACCCUGUUAAGAUUUCUCCUGGACCACAUCCAGAGGACUGCACCCAAAGUCAGUGGAAGUCAUUGAUUAAUGAGAAACACCUUUAGCUGCCAACACCAAUUACAUGGGGCAAGUUUUGAUGCAGUAACUUGUUCUUGUCCAGGAGAAGCCCAAUAUGACUGGCACAGCCACCAAUAGAGCCAUCAUUGGAGACUUCUUAGCUACCAUCGUAGCCUUGUCCAUGGUGGCCACUGAAAUCCUGAUCUAUCAGCAGCAGCAGCAGCAGUAGCAGCAAAAGAACAAGCUGGAUGACAAGGAGAAUAAUUUGGAAGGACCUGUAGCACACAAGCCACUCCCCUUGCCAAUUUUUGGAAGAAAUGGAAUCAGUUCCUAACUCCACUGAGGCUGAAGUUCCCUUAAAGCUCCCUACUAUGAACCCAGGAUCACAGAUGACCUCUCUGGAAAAGUUAGUUCCACUAUGAAAGAGGAGAUGCUGCAAUACCACAAAUUACUAAUGCUAGAAGAGUGAGAGGUGGCAGGUAAGGUUGGCCCUAGUCUGGAAGAUCACUAUUUAGACUAGAUCAGGGGUGUUAAACUCAAGGCCCUUGGACUGGAUCCGGUCUGUGGGGUGCUUAAAACUGGCCCGCAGGGCCGGCCUGGAAAUAUCAAAGGAUCAGCCCACGAUGCCUCUGCUGGCCAAAACAGACCAUGGGGGGGGACGUGUGGCCCCUUGUGGCCCGUUUUCAGCCUCCACGGCCUCCUGCAGCACUCUGCCAGCUGAAAACGGGCCAUGCGGAGGCGCCACGUGGCCCCCGCGUGGCCCAUUUCUGGCCUUUCCAGCCUCCAGCAGCGCUCUGCCAGCCAAAAACUACUACUACACUCUGCGUGGCCCGUUUUCGGCAGGCAGUGCUACAGGAGGACUGGAUUGGACUGGAUUACAAUUAUGUGGCCUCAAGUAAGUGCCUGAUCUGGAUAGAAAACAAGCAACAUCCUAUGUUAAUACUACAGUUUAAUGCCAGAUUUUACGUAGUGUAGGUCCAUUUAAUCUACAAUCAACAAUCUAUAAUUGACAGCUGUUUCUAUUUACUAUCUUGGAAAUUUACCUCUGCUGUUAAGUCUUGUAUUAUCAUGUUUUUUGUGCUAUUGUAUUUUUAUUAUUAAUUGAAUAAUAAAAAUACAAUAGUAUAAAUAGCUUUGCUGCCUGGAAAAGAAAUAAAAAGUUUAGUGGAGUAUGAAGAAUAAGUAAUAAAUGUUUGCCAGUAAUAUCUGGUAGAAGAGAUAGGAAAAUGAUUAUAGUAAAGAAUUGUGGAAAGAAAGAAAAGAAGGGGAAAAAUGCAUCUUGAGCCUGUGUCAAAUGCUCACCAUGACCACGUCCACCCCAGCCAUGUCCACCAUGACCAUGCCCACCCCUGGCCACACCAACCACCACCCCUGGCCCUCCGAGGUCAAACACAACCCUGAUGCAGCCUUCAAUGAAAUCGAGUUUGACACUUCUGGACUAGAUCAACCCCAUUUAUGACACCCUGUCUUUACAUCUACAGAGGGAGAGAUAGCUUUGACAUCUGUGGCCCCCAAUAAGGCCUUGUGAUAUCCAGAGCUACGUAUGUCUAAAUCUACAGCCACAAUCCAAAAGACGGGAUGCUGCUUAAAAUAUAUUCUGUUUUGGAGGAAAUAAAAAGAAUAAUGUGUCUUGGACCCUUGGCUCCUGCUUGAGCAGCAGAUAAAGGCUAUGGCCAGGAGAGCCUUUGCUCAGCAGUGAAUCUUAAGGGAAUGGAAAGCUACUGCAAGAGGGACAUAUGCCCUAUGCUUAAGACAUUUCUGAUAUGCUUUACAUGCCACUGCCCCCUCCCCCCAAAAGAAGCUCUGGCUGCUCCAAAAUGUACUUGCUGACAGGUUUUUAUAUUAAGAUUUUUCACCACUGCUGCAACUUUUAAAAUGAGCAAGAGGCUCAGAAUAGGGAUUGGCAAAUCUCAGUAUAAUUUUCUGCCGACUCAAGAAUGAGUGGUCAGCACUUUAACUCAGCAAAGGAGAAAGACCCUAAGUUUUCCUACAGAUCACCCUGCUGCUGAAAUAGCCAUACUGGGAUUGGUCAAUCAGUUUUCCAGAAAUAAAUUUUCUGAAAGAAUACCAAAA